UGGGGGUGUAGCUUAGUCCGGUUUAAAGCAGUCGCCUGUCGAGCGAAAGAACGUGGGUUCAAAUCCCAUCAUCCCCGU
RNAcentral lists this transfer RNA (78 nucleotides) under Microchaete diplosiphon NIES-3275. RNAcentral describes it as "Fremyella diplosiphon NIES-3275 tRNA-Asp". It matches the Rfam family "tRNA". Rfam says of the family: Transfer RNA (tRNA) molecules are approximately 80 nucleotides in length. Their secondary structure includes four short double-helical elements and three loops (D, anti-codon, and T loops). Lineage: Bacteria; Bacillati; Cyanobacteriota; Cyanophyceae; Nostocales; Rivulariaceae. The record is from RNAcentral.